RNAcentral lists this ribosomal RNA (1354 nucleotides) under Microbacterium paraoxydans. Its description in RNAcentral is "bacterial SSU rRNA". It matches the Rfam family "Bacterial small subunit ribosomal RNA", at positions 77 to 1441 of the family's 1533-position model. Lineage: Bacteria; Bacillati; Actinomycetota; Actinomycetes; Micrococcales; Microbacteriaceae. The record is from RNAcentral.
AGCUUGCUCUUGUGGAUCAGUGGCGAACGGGUGAGUAACACGUGAGCAACCUGCCCCUGACUCUGGGAUAAGCGCUGGAAACGGCGUCUAAUACUGGAUAUGUGACGUGACCGCAUGGUCUGCGUUUGGAAAGAUUUUUCGGUUGGGGAUGGGCUCGCGGCCUAUCAGCUUGUUGGUGAGGUAAUGGCUCACCAAGGCGUCGACGGGUAGCCGGCCUGAGAGGGUGACCGGCCACACUGGGACUGAGACACGGCCCAGACUCCUACGGGAGGCAGCAGUGGGGAAUAUUGCACAAUGGGCGAAAGCCUGAUGCAGCAACGCCGCGUGAGGGAUGACGGCCUUCGGGUUGUAAACCUCUUUUAGCAGGGAAGAAGCGAAAGUGACGGUACCUGCAGAAAAAGCGCCGGCUAACUACGUGCCAGCAGCCGCGGUAAUACGUAGGGCGCAAGCGUUAUCCGGAAUUAUUGGGCGUAAAGAGCUCGUAGGCGGUUUGUCGCGUCUGCUGUGAAAUCCCGAGGCUCAACCUCGGGCCUGCAGUGGGUACGGGCAGACUAGAGUGCGGUAGGGGAGAUUGGAAUUCCUGGUGUAGCGGUGGAAUGCGCAGAUAUCAGGAGGAACACCGAUGGCGAAGGCAGAUCUCUGGGCCGUAACUGACGCUGAGGAGCGAAAGGGUGGGGAGCAAACAGGCUUAGAUACCCUGGUAGUCCACCCCGUAAACGUUGGGAACUAGUUGUGGGGUCCAUUCCACGGAUUCCGUGACGCAGCUAACGCAUUAAGUUCCCCGCCUGGGGAGUACGGCCGCAAGGCUAAAACUCAAAGGAAUUGACGGGGACCCGCACAAGCGGCGGAGCAUGCGGAUUAAUUCGAUGCAACGCGAAGAACCUUACCAAGGCUUGACAUAUACGAGAACGGGCCAGAAAUGGUCAACUCUUUGGACACUCGUAAACAGGUGGUGCAUGGUUGUCGUCAGCUCGUGUCGUGAGAUGUUGGGUUAAGUCCCGCAACGAGCGCAACCCUCGUUCUAUGUUGCCAGCACGUAAUGGUGGGAACUCAUGGGAUACUGCCGGGGUCAACUCGGAGGAAGGUGGGGAUGACGUCAAAUCAUCAUGCCCCUUAUGUCUUGGGCUUCACGCAUGCUACAAUGGCCGGUACAAAGGGCUGCAAUACCGUGAGGUGGAGCGAAUCCCAAAAAGCCGGUCCCAGUUCGGAUUGAGGUCUGCAACUCGACCUCAUGAAGUCGGAGUCGCUAGUAAUCGCAGAUCAGCAACGCUGCGGUGAAUACGUUCCCGGGUCUUGUACACACCGCCCGUCAAGUCAUGAAAGUCGGUAACACCUGAAGCCGGUGGCCUAACCC